Molecule: non-coding RNA, 72 nt
Organism: Phrynosoma platyrhinos (Desert horned lizard)
Lineage: Eukaryota; Metazoa; Chordata; Lepidosauria; Squamata; Phrynosomatidae
Source: the annotation of a GenBank genome assembly
GACAGCCUGCCAUAGUGGUUAGAGUGUUGGACUAUGACUCUGGAGACCUGGGUUCAAUUCCCAGCUCAGCCA